Molecule: long non-coding RNA, 1109 nt
Organism: Herpailurus yagouaroundi (jaguarundi)
Lineage: Eukaryota; Metazoa; Chordata; Mammalia; Carnivora; Felidae
Exons: 2
Source: RefSeq, a predicted model, not a curated record
UUCUCCUCCCCUCCCCCCGCCUCGCCCCAGUCCCUUCGCAGACGCGGGCCUUCGCGUGGACGGCCCAGGGACUAGUCGCCAUUCGCGACUGCAGCGUUGACUGCCCCUCCCCACCCACUCGGGGAGCUGGGGAGGGCCCCGGCAGCGAUAGGGACCCGGGUUGUGACGCGGCCUCUCCCCGAGCGUCCCCCAGGGCCGGCGGCGCUGCCUUCUCGGCCCUCCCCGGCCUCGGGCUGGGGCGGGAUCUUGCAGGGCUGGUCUCGGGAGCGGGGUCUCUGGCCCCCGCGUCUCCGGGUCCGCUGGGGACUUGAGCGGGGGCCGUGAACAUCCUUUGUGCCCCACUUCCCCUCCUCCCAGCCUGGGCGUGGGGGCGGGGGGACCGCAUGGAUGCGGUUCCUCUUUCUCUCCCUGGUGUCUGGGCGGCGCCUUUCCCAUUCACUCAUCAGGUCUCCUGGUUUUCUACUCCCCCCCCCCCCCCGAUAUUCCCCAUUGCCUCUCCUGACAGAUCCUUUAGAAUCUCCACAGAAAAAACGUAGGCUCUCCUGAAAACCUGGGCUCAAUGGUGCAAAAUCGAAACCUUGCUGCUCUCACGUUUUUGUUAACAAAAGGCUCCUCUUUCUCUAUACCCCAAAGCACGUCCUCUUGCGGGGAACGUAUUUCUCGCUAGCGUUUUCAUUGAUCGUUCUCGACAUGUCAUCUCCGUUUUUUCCUAACGUGUUUUGUAUUGAAAAGGUUUCACAGGAAAGUGAGUGACCUCGCACCUAUAUCCAUAGCAACCCAGUGAUGUCACACACAAUGACACAGAGGCUGCAAUGCACCUAAGGGCUGGUAGGGAGUAUGCAAGUGGCAUUUGUCCAAGGUAAUGCAGAAAUUAGCAGAUAAGCAGGUGGAAUUGAGGACUUCAUCUUAUCCACCAGAUAAGAAUUGGUCCAGAAAAUAAGAAUAUCAUUUACCUUUAGGCAUGCAGAGCAGUGACCUCUAGAUAUGCCAAUUCAUUUUCCAAUUUCUAGUUUACCCACAAAAGUUUAUAAGCUACAUUUGUAUUUUUAAACAUUUGUCUCAUUGUUAAAAUUGGACAAUAACGGAAUAAAGAUAGAAAUUUUAAACAA